RNAcentral lists this ribosomal RNA (562 nucleotides) under Bacillus pumilus. RNAcentral describes it as "bacterial SSU rRNA". It matches the Rfam family "Bacterial small subunit ribosomal RNA", at positions 915 to 1475 of the family's 1533-position model. The record is from RNAcentral. Lineage: Bacteria; Bacillati; Bacillota; Bacilli; Caryophanales; Bacillaceae.
GGGGGCCCGGCGCAAGCGGUGGAGCAAGUGGUUUAAUUCGAAGCAACGCGAAGAACCUUACCAGGUCUUGACAUCCUCUGACAACCCUAGAGAUAGGGCUUUCCCUUUGGGGACAGAGUGACAGGUGGUGCAUGGUUGUCGUCAGCUCGUGUCGUGAGAUGUUGGGUUAAGUCCCGCAACGAGCGCAACCCUUGAUCUUAGUUGCCAGCAUUCAGUUGGGCACUCUAAGGUGACUGCCGGUGACAAACCGGAGGAAGGUGGGGAUGACGUCAAAUCAUCAUGCCCCUUAUGACCUGGGCUACACACGUGCUACAAUGGACAGAACAAAGGGCUGCAAGACCGCAAGGUUUAGCCAAUCCCAUAAAUCUGUUCUCAGUUCGGAUCGCAGUCUGCAACUUGACUGCGUGAAGCUGGAAUCGCUAGUAAUCGCGGAUCAGCAUGCCGCGGUGAAUACGUUCCCGGGCCUUGUACACACCGCCCGUAAACACCACGAGAGUUUGCAACACCCGAAGUCGGUGAGGUAACCUUUAUGGAGCCAGCCGCCGAAGGUGCAUGAUGCGGU